GGUUCGGUAGCUCAGUUGGUUAGAGCGAUGGAUUCAUAACCCAUAGGUCGGUGGUUCAAAUCCACCCCGAACCACUA
RNAcentral lists this transfer RNA (77 nucleotides) under Bradymonadales bacterium. RNAcentral describes it as "tRNA-Met". It matches the Rfam family "tRNA". Rfam says of the family: Transfer RNA (tRNA) molecules are approximately 80 nucleotides in length. Their secondary structure includes four short double-helical elements and three loops (D, anti-codon, and T loops). The record is from RNAcentral. Lineage: Bacteria; Deltaproteobacteria; Bradymonadales.